Molecule: ribosomal RNA, 497 nt
Filed under: uncultured bacterium
Lineage: Bacteria
Description: partial 16S ribosomal RNA
Rfam family: Bacterial small subunit ribosomal RNA
Source: RNAcentral
GAUGAACGCUGGCGGCGUGCCUAAUACAUGCAAGUCGAGCGAACAGACGAGGAGCUUGCUCCUCUGACGUUAGCGGCGGACGGGUGAGUAACACGUGGAUAACCUACCUAUAAGACUGGGAUAACUUCGGGAAACCGGAGCUAAUACCGGAUAAUAUAUUGAACCGCAUUGUUCAAUAGUGAAAGACGGUUUUGCUGUCACUUAUAGAUGGAUCCGCGCCGCAUUAGCUAGUUGGUAAGGUAACGGCUUACCAAGGCAACGAUGCGUAGCCGACCUGAGAGGGUGAUCGGCCACACUGGAACUGAGACACGGUCCAGACUCCUACGGGAGGCAGCAGUAGGGAAUCUUCCGCAAUGGGCGAAAGCCUGACGGAGCAACGCCGCGUGAGUAAUGAAGGUCUUCGGAUCGUAAAACUCUGUUAUUAGGGAAGAACAAAUGUGUAAGUAACUAUGCACGUCUUGACGGUACCUAAUCAGAAAGCCACGGCUAACUACGUG